AAGGGAUGUGUGGAGUGUGACUUGCUUCCAGGCAGACCUGAAGGGCCCCCCAGGGUCCUUGCACCCACUGUGUCCUGGGUCACAAUGAGCAGAUAACUGCAACUGAGAUGGCAGCUAUUGAGCCACACAGAACUGAGUUUCAGUCCUGGGUCCUCCAUGAAGCCGGGUGACUUGGGCAUGUCACUUGAUGUCUCUAAACGUAUCCACUCACCUACAAAGGGAGACGCUAAUGGUACUGCCGCCCAGGCCAGCUGUAAGCAUGAGACACACCACUGAGCUCAGCAUCUGGGCCCGACAAACAGUGGCUGUUGUCACAGUGCUGGAGAUGAGCCAGCAGGCUGCUGCCCAGGACCCGGGGCCCAAGGACACAUCACAUGCAGAGCACCUCAAUCAGGCAGCAGACAGAAAGUGCUGGAGAACUGGAUCCACGGGCAGAGUGGGCACCAUUUUGUGCAGGCGUGGUGUCACUGAGCUAAAUCCCUG
Molecule: long non-coding RNA, 483 nt
Filed under: Heterocephalus glaber (naked mole-rat)
Lineage: Eukaryota; Metazoa; Chordata; Mammalia; Rodentia; Bathyergidae
Description: lncRNA (ENSHGLG00100041398.1)
Source: RNAcentral